Passer domesticus (house sparrow) is the source of this 7789-nucleotide long non-coding RNA. RefSeq lists it as uncharacterized. NCBI's taxonomy places the organism in Eukaryota, Metazoa, Chordata, Aves, Passeriformes, Passeridae. The transcript is spliced from 5 exons. The record is from RefSeq and is a predicted model, not a curated record.
GCGGCCGGGAGCCGCGCUGGGAUGGAGGCAGGGAGGCGGUCUGGCUUUGUUAGCCCCGGCCCUUUCCUCUCUCCCCCAUGCGCUCCGGUGUGUGACCGCUCCGCUGGGCUACAGCAGCUCAUCAGCGAAGUCCACAGGGAGCUGCCUCCCCUAUUCCUUCUGUCCCCAGGGAGCUGCCUCCCCUAUUCCUUCGCUGGUGGCGCCCGGCCGGAGGGGUCCCUCAGCCACCCCCGCUGCCCCGCCGAGGGGCGCCGGCCAUGGGCGCUCCCCGCCAGGCCCGCUUGCGCUGGAGAGGGAGAGGGAGAAGGAGGGAGGUGAUUUCUCCUCCGCUUCACCUUCCCUCACACCUCUCCUGGCGUGAAAGCGACGCGCCAGAACAGGCAUUACUUUUGUGCUCAACUCUGCUUCGAAGAUCUCCUCGAGAAAAGUGACACUAAACUUCAGGCAUAUCAGCUGCGCUGCAGCAACUUCAGCCAAGCAGACUGCUUUGAUUGCUUGUUCUCCGGUCUCUUUUUAAAAAUAAAAUGCUAACUCGAGAGCAAGAAAACAAUUCUUAAUUUAGGAUGUGUGAGACUGAUGGAAGUGACUAGCAGGGUGCGAAGGAUUAAAAUCUAUGGACUAUACGGCUCUUAAAAGUUGUCGUAAGUCGUGUUUGCUGACUGAUGUGGAGCUAGUAAAAUACUACCUUCGUUUCCUGCUUGUGGUGCAUAUAACUGAUGCAAAUCAACAACAAGGUUUGCACAGAUAAGCGUCAUUUGCUUACCUAUGUAGUCCCAUGACAGUCAGAGUAUGAGUUACUAUGAAACAACUGACUUCAAGGUUAAAAAGUACCCAUUGAAACUCAAGAUUGUGAGACUAUUCAUGCACAUUCUGCUUGAAUUCCAUGAGAUGUGAGGUGUUUGUGAGCUCAGGUCAGUGACUUGUUUAAUUGCCUAGGUUAUUUGAGGUCAGAGUGUGCCCUGAUUUCAUUCACAUUUUUAUAUACCAGGCAUUUAUAGAGAGUUAGAUACUUUCCUUGAAUCUCAUCCAAGGGUCGUAUGCUUCCUUAUGUGUCUGAUCAACCUCAGUUUCUGGCAGGCCAGGACCAUUUCAGGAGAUGCUGACUCUAAUCAGAGUUGCAGAAAGAAUUUUUUUUUUCCCAAAUAUAAAGUUUGUUUUUUUCAUUUAUAAAUAGAAUGAUUUACGUUUUUAUUAAGUGUUUCAGAUUAGAACUGUUUGUUUUACAAUUAUGAUUAUAUGUUAUCGGUGGUAUAACAAAGCUAAGAAUCACUUCAAGUGGAUCACAAGAAACCUUAUGGGUUUUAAAUUUUGUUUGUAAAACCAAUAUUAUUGAAUUGUUGAUAUGAAAAAUACAAAUUGUUUUCUAGGUUGGCAGUGGUGUUCAAUGAAAGAAAGAAAAUUAAACAAGUAAUAAAAUGUUUUUUUUUUUAUUUUUACACUGUAGAGGGUUUCUUCUCCUCCUAGAUGAACUGUUGUAAGUUUAGCAACCUAGUUAAAAAAGGGAGUAAGAGACAGCGAGAAAGGCAUUGAUGGAGAAUGUUCUUCUUCAUGUAUGUGUGUGUAUGUUCUUACCUUCUUCUCGGGCCUCCUUUUCCUUGCGAUACAAGCAUUUGAGCAAAUAAUUAUUUUCAGGAUCCUGCUGGAAUUCGUGCUUGACACAUAUAUGUAGUAUUAAGCUGCUUUAGUAUUCACUUUUCAGCAGCAGCUGCAGGACAAUGGCAGCAGUAUGUGAAGAAGCCAACUGGGCUUAAAAUGUUUUUCCUUCAUUUUUCUUUCAGAGAGCUUUUACCAUAGGCAAUCUUUGCAGUCAUCUACAUUGCAUAUGAGAUGCAUGCUUUAAAUCAUCUUAGAAAUCUUAUUCUACAGUCUCCCAAACUAUUAAAAAAACUGUUGAGUCUGGAUGAUGAGGUUUUCCAGCCCAUGUGUUGACCAAAGGUUUCCAUGUGUAUGAAACUGCCCCCUUGUCAGUCUUGUGAGUCAAGGACUUAGAUUUUUGGAGAAAUGGGACUGAUAGACAACAGGAAGUUUGAAGAAAAGUAAUGCAAAACAUUUGGUAGCUUUUUUCCCCAUGUCUUCCAUACCUUAAGAUUCUUUUCAGUAGGGAUGAUGUCCAAUAUGGUUUAAAUUAGCAUCACUACCCUAAGCACUCACCUUUCUCAUUUUCUCUCCAUCUCCUUCCCUCCUCCUGCCCAUGCACACCCCUCACUUUCUUCAUGGUGGCUCCAGGCCUCAUUGGUCCUCUCUAAGCCAGCUCAGGUGGCAAAAUCUCUUGAGAUUAAUUUUCCUAACAAUAAAUUGUGACAUAAAGAACUGAUGCCUCAUUUCUCAUAUCUCAUUCUUUUCCAUAGGCUACCAGUGUGCUCUCGGCUUGUCUCACCCUUAAAAUACAGCUUCAGGUUUAGGAUAGACUUUUUCCCAUCAAAAUGUGGCAGCAGGCAGCUGUAUCCCAGUGAAAGCAACAGUUUAUCACCAAGUCUGAAUUCACGUAAGUGUCCUACUAUGUUGCGUCUUGGAUGGCAGAGAAGGAGAAUGCAAGUGGGAUCACUCAGAUAAGUUUUUCUUGGCUUAAAAACAUGCAUUGAACAAAAUUGAGCUGUUUGUACACUCAGGCAUCUUGUUUCGAUAUUCUCUGUAUGUAUGACCUAUCAGACUUGCCUCACAGUUGCUAACUUUUUUUCAAAUGACAAGAAUUAGAAAUUUGGUUUUAGCAAUAGAAAAUCCAAUUUUUUCCUAUCUGAUUUCCUAUAUUUGGGGACUUCUAAAAUCAGUUUUCUGCACCCAGUUUUAAUGAUUUUGGUGUUGCAUGUUGACGUGUUCUCUAUUUUGAUAUGCUCAUGCCUUUUUUCUCAUUAUACUUAAAAGUAUAAUGAAAUCAUGAAAGUAUAAUGAAAUAAUGAUUUCAUUAUUUUUGAGAUCAAACUGUGUAUAUACAAAACUGUAGUUCAGAGGGACAGGUCAGAAACCUAAAUUAUGAGUGUUUAUUUACAACAAAGCUAAUAGUUAUGUCCAUUAUAUCUAUUUCUUUCUUAUUGCUACCUACCUGCCUGGCAUAGGUUAUCAUCACCUUGUAACAACUUCCCUGGCCCUGGCUCUUUGGCCUGAAUUGUGGUGGGGGGUUAGUGCCUUUGUCUUAUUGUUCUUGCAGGCAUGUAAGUGUGAUUUUAUUUUAAGGACCCAAAUGCCUUACUUUCCUGUUCUGUUCAGUAUAUUUCAGAAGGAGAAUUUGUUGUCAUUUUACCAAAAUGUUUAAAUUAUCCUAAUGCUUUACAGGAACUUAGGAACUUGAUGUUUUAGAUUGUAAGUGUUCAGAUGGCCUUGAAAAAAUGUAUGCUUUUAAGGAAAGCCAUAUAUCCAAAAUCACUAAAUUGCUGGUCAUUUUUGUAACUGUGGCCUAAUUUUCUGGUUUUUUUUUAAUUCUUGUACUUUUUUUUUAUUAUGUAAAUUUAUGUAUUCCUUUAUUUGUGUUUUUAGAUAAUAUUGUAUAUUUAUAUUCCUAUGUUCUAGUAUUUUUUAGAAGUACUUAUAUAUCACAUCAUCAUAUAAGGUUUCUAGACAUUGUGUGUUGUUUGUAACACUUCAUUUUGUUUUAGGUUCUUUCAAAUUUUCUGUUGAUAAAUUCCAUUUCUAUUAUAAAAGUUAAUUUAUGUGUUUUGGGGUUUUUUUUUCCCUAAUUUUGGAGAGCCUUCCCCUUCCACCCAGUUUAAUAGUAUUGUUACAAAAAUAACCCCACCAAAAUGAGGUGAAGCAUACAGGAAGUUCUUUCACACAGACAAACCUUUUGUCUCAGAUUGGAGUUAAAUUGGCAUUAUUUACUGACACUGAUGAAAUUAAAGGUGUAGAUGGCAUUAAGAUCUCUUACAGCUACUAAAGAACUAUCAUACAUAAAAAUGAUGUGCUACAUUUUAAUCAGAGUACUGCUAUUGCUUCUGCUUCAUGCUGUGGUUAUGACAUGAUAUGCUAUAUCUCUUAUAAUUAUGGAUAAAAACCAAGUCCUUACUUACUUGGGUGUUUUUCAAAAUACACCAAUUUUGAGUGCCACUCCCACCUCUUUAAUGUCAAUUUAAGAUGAAAUAUACUUCAAAAUUAUUGAUGAGCACUUCUGAAAUUAAGAUUCUUACAUCCACUACAAAGCUUUCUGCUGAUGAUAGUGUUUGUUAAUUUUUAUAGCAAGAGUGCAGCUCAAUAUUUACUUUUACUUUCAAAGUUUUCCAACAAUUAUAUUACAGUAGAAAACAAAAUGACACCUCUAGUAACAGCACAAGGGGACUAAUUUCUAAUCUGUUGAGUAAAGGAGAAAGGGAGGGGACGUUUUAAUUUUUUAUGUACCAAAACCAGAAUGGUCGGGUAAAUUGAGCCUCAAAAAUUGAUUCCUGCUAAUGUCAGAGAAAUAAAAUACCACUUUGCUUCUUGACAAAGAUGCAUAGAAAAACAUGACUAUAGCUAGCUGCAAAUAGCUCUAUACAGUGAGGUUAGUCGAUGUAUCUUAUUCAUUGAUUGCCCAUAUUGCCUGUACAGUCACUUGUAAUCUGCAUUGAGUCAUGUAGAUGUGGAGAUUCAGAACAAAAGGCAAGGUGGAGAACUCGUCCCAGCUCAGACCUCAUCUGUGUAAUCACUGAUGACACAGACAGUCUGAAACUCAGCCCUGAGGACUUUGCCCUGGAGCAGGACACAGCUAACAAAGACUAUAUAUGAAGGCCAUACUCUCAAAGCCAAUGCAUUGGUGCACAUAUGCAUUGUUUCAUCUGCUUGCCCAUACUACUUCAUCAGAAUAAUAUAUAUAAAAAGCCACAGUCGUGUAUUUCUCUUAUAACAGUCAAGCAGAAACUUCGCAGAGGCUUCCUUCUUCAACUUGUAGUGUUUCUUCUGUUAAAAUGUAAAGCAUGUAUCCAGUAAGAAUGUAUGUAUCCAUUUUUAUGGCAAUUGGUGUAAUUCCUUUUUUUUUUUAAGAAAAAAUAAUGAUGUUUGGAACAUUAUAUUCUCCCCUGUAGCCAGAUUUAUUAUAUUCAAUGCCUUAAUUGUUCUUUACAAUGCAGCUUGGCUUUUUAGGCUUUACUUCAGUAUUCACAGCUGGCCUAAAGAGUACACCCAGAGACAAUCAUUUUGGAAAGCAAAUGCCAAAGACAAAUCAGAACAAAUUCAAAUAUCACUUUACUAUACUUAAACAUUCUGAGCUUUGGAUCAUGGUUUUGCCAUAGGUCUGGAGGAUCAAAUGAGAUUUGUGGGAUUUGACUGAGAUUGUGACAAGGGUGUGUGUUGCUCAGUUUUCUGGUUUCUGUUUUUGAAGAAGUGAAACUGGUCCAGAAAAUGUUGCACUUGUACUGCUUUUUCAGAGUAGAGUUCAUGACAAAUAUGAGCCCCAAAAUUUUCAAAUCUAAAACUGGUAAUUUAAAAAUAAGCAAUUUUAUUUUUCAGUUUAUUGUUCUUAAGCAGGACUACUUAAAAGGAAAACAAGCUGUUGUUUAUUUUGUCAUCUUUAAGGGGAAAUAGAGGAAGGAAUAAAAAAGGGAAAAAUAUUUAGAGGAUGACUUACUCUUUCCUUUUACAGGCAUAAAUAUUUUUUAAAACUUAUGAGGUAAUAUUAUUUUUGCAUUUUUUCUUCAGCCCGCUCCUGUUAGAGUUAUAUGAGGACUAAGAAUAGCUGUAGCUAGAAUUUUAUUGAAAAAUCUAAAUAUAAAAGUUUGUUGACAUCAUCAUACUUCAUUAAACCAUAUAAAAGGACGCAAAGUGUAGAUGCUGGCUCAGAAUGCUCACAACAGAAGAUUAUGACAAAUUUGAAAAUGUCUGAAAACACUAGUAGCAGGUCAAAUUCAAGGUUGAGAAGGAAAAGGAAAGUGCAGGACCACUGUACCCCAAAAGUCCAUAGUCACACCAGGUUGGUGUGAGCUAAAACCACAUCUUUAGUGCAUGAGUGCAUGAAACCCCUGAUUUACUGAUACUACAAUGUGAAUAGCCCAGCAUUUUCUGCUGCAUUAGUUCCAUACCAGGCAGUUUGUGUAUUUUCCUAAGCCUACUGACAUAACAGCACCGGCCACGUUGUGAAAUGUGUCGGACCUUGGCCUCCACCGUUCUGCUGCCAAACAGAAGGAAACAGUAGCUGUACACUGUGAUACUGUUGGAUGGGAGUUUUAUCCCCUCCCUGUGUAUGCAGAUACACACACUGAGUUGGAUACAGCACUCUAAAGAACAUCAUUUCUUUGCAAACACAGUACAGGUGUCCCACGUUUUGCUGCUUGCAUCAGUGAUGGUCAAGUAUAGAAGGAAAAGCAGGGGCCUGGAAUAUGUAUCAGGUCCUGAUGAAACAGAUGAAGUUCUGAACAGAGUAAAAUAAGGAAACAGAAGAAUAUGCUAUCCAUCUUCAUUCCUCUGCACAUAUUUUUUGAGAAAUGCUAGCCAACAGCUUGUCAUUUCACUGAGACAUAGCUGUGCAGUGAUACAGCUUUCAGACAGUUAAAUGGGCAGCUUGCAUCUAAAAGAGAACUCUGGGAAGAACAAUCUGAAACCAAACCUCUCACUUUGAAGCAUCACCACCUAAAUGUUAUUUAAUCCGUAAAUAGUGAGGUGAUAUGAACCCACAGCCAUCUAAAGUGAGAGCCAGCAACAGACCCCUGACUUGUGAAAAUUACAAGAUUGAGAUCUAAGAAAGUGAUUUGUGGCUCAUAUUGGACAAACAAUUAUCUAGCACUAGUCCCAGAGAAUCUACUCUGCUUUCUGAAAGGGUCACACAGCUAAAAUGGAUUCUUAGUGAAAUUAGUUAUUUUGUAAUUGUAGAGCUAAUUAAUUUGUAAAGAGAGACCUGUUGGCACUGGAAACAAUAUUCACAUUCAUCAGAUACAGCCUUUUUAUUGAAAGAGCUGUUGAACUACUUUAGGCUGUCUGAACCUCUCUACACCUGUCUAAUCCAGGUGUCUUCCAGUGUCUAUGGAAAAUAUUUGCCUAGCAAAAACGAGAUAAUUUCAAGGCAUGUUUUUUUGACAAAUGUCUCUCUUAGAGAUAAGUAUACAUCUGCUUCCUUCUGGUGAUGCCUUAGGUUUUAGCUUUUAUGUUUUUCAGAUUCUGUACUGCUUUAGUGUGUAGUUCUGAGCUUCAUAUUAAGGGAUGGUAAGCUCUCUUCACAGAGUAGGUAGAAAAAAAAAUUCCUUUUCUAGCUGGGGACCAAGGACAACUGGACCAAAUCUCAGGCCCAAGAGCAUAAACAACGUAGACUGAAGAGAGAAAAACAAGAAGGGUGGGACUUCAUAAGCUAAAGCUAUAAUUGGACAAUUAACUCCAAUAUGCUAAUGGACCAGAACUUAUAAAAGUGUCUCAUGACUGGUUGUCCAUUUUGUGACCAUUUUGGUUCAUCCUGGGUGUAGCCCUGGCUGGGGUCUUGUACUACCCAAGGUGUAUCCAUUGAAGCUUUUUAAUAAAUACCUGCUUUAACUUUGUCUAGUCUCUGUUCUAGGUCAGCCUUUACAAGGCAUAACAGGCAGUGAACAAAGCAAUAGAAAGAUACUGGGAUACUCUUCUCUCUGCUCCUGACAUUAGCAAUGGGAAGGUAUAUAUAGCUAGGUGGCCCUUUUGCUACAUCCUAAAUUCAAUAUACAGGAAUUAAAUCACUAAAAAAACCAUAACCAAGAUAAAAACCAGACCAUAAACCAAAUGAAAACUAAAAAAUAAUGAGGCAGAAAACCUUCAAAAAUAUCAUCAUGCAAGGAAAUGCAGAUUUCUAUUCCAUAAAGUGAAGAAGAGAAACAUUGUCUAACAUAAACAGUGCUAGCUCUCCCAGCAGCCACCAUUACAUUAUUCAUUA